UCCUACGGGAGGCAGCAGUGAGGAAUAUUGGUCAAUGGUCGGGAGACUGAACCAGCCAAGCCGCGUGAGGGAUGAAGGUACAGAGUAUCGUAAACCUCUUUUGUCAGGGAACAAAGGCGGGGACGUGUCCCCGGAUGAGUGUACCUGAAGAAAAAGCAUCGGCUAACUCCGUGCCAGCAGCCGCGGUAAUACGGAGGAUGCGAGCGUUAUCCGGAUUUAUCGGGUUUAAAGGGUGCGCAGGCGGUCUGUUAAGUCAGCGGUCAAAGCCCGGGGCUCAACCCCGGCCCGCCGUUGAAACUGGCAGU
RNAcentral lists this ribosomal RNA (305 nucleotides) under uncultured bacterium. RNAcentral's name for it is "bacterial SSU rRNA". It matches the Rfam family "Bacterial small subunit ribosomal RNA", at positions 337 to 640 of the family's 1533-position model. The record is from RNAcentral.